RNAcentral lists this ribosomal RNA (248 nucleotides) under uncultured Anaerotruncus sp. Its description in RNAcentral is "partial 16S ribosomal RNA". It matches the Rfam family "Bacterial small subunit ribosomal RNA", at positions 524 to 772 of the family's 1533-position model. Lineage: Bacteria; Bacillati; Bacillota; Clostridia; Eubacteriales; Oscillospiraceae. The record is from RNAcentral.
UACGUAGGGAGCGAGCGUUGUCCGGAAUUACUGGGUGUAAAGGGAGCGUAGGCGGGGAUGCAAGUUGGAUGUUUAAACUAUCGGCUCAACCGGUAAUUGCAACCAAAACUGCAACUCUUGAGUGAAGUAGAGGCAGGCGGAAUUCCUAGUGUAGCGGUGAAAUGCGUAGAUAUUAGGAGGAACACCAGUGGCGAAGGCGGCCUGCUGGGCUUUAACUGACGCUGAGGCUCGAAAGCGUGGGGAGCAAA